Molecule: ribosomal RNA, 574 nt
Filed under: Cercospora sojina
Lineage: Eukaryota; Fungi; Ascomycota; Dothideomycetes; Mycosphaerellales; Mycosphaerellaceae
Description: eukaryotic LSU rRNA
Rfam family: 5.8S ribosomal RNA (bases 215-368)
Source: RNAcentral
CUCGGUCAUUUAGAGGAAGUAAAAGUCGUAACAAGGUCUCCGUAGGUGAACCUGCGGAGGGAUCAUUACUGAGUGAGGGCCUUCGGGCUCGACCUCCAACCCUUUGUGAACACAACUUGUUGCUUCGGGGGCGACCCUGCCGGUUCGACGGCGAGCGCUCCCGGAGGCCUUCAAACACUGCAUCCUUGCGUCGGAGUUUAAGUAAAUUAAACAAAACUUUCAACAACGGAUCUCUUGGUUCUGGCAUCGAUGAAGAACGCAGCGAAAUGCGAUAAGUAAUGUGAAUUGCAGAAUUCAGUGAAUCAUCGAAUCUUUGAACGCACAUUGCGCCCCUUGGUAUUCCGAGGGGCAUGCCUGUUCGAGCGUCAUUUCACCACUCAAGCCUCGCUUGGUAUUGGGCGCCGCGGUGUUCCGCGCGCCUCAAAGUCUCCGGCUGAGCUGUCCGUCUCUAAGCGUUGUGAUUUCAUUAAUCGCUUCGGAGCGCGGGCGGUCGCGGCCGUUAAAUCUUUCACAAGGUUGACCUCGGAUCAGGUAGGGAUACCCGCUGAACUUAAGCAUAUCAAUAAGCGGAGGA